UGUUGCCACACUUAUAGUGGCCAUACUAUUGACCAUACAAUCAGCAAACGCUGGAUUUAUUAAGUAUGGCGGUUACGGUGGUUAUGGCGGUUAUGGAGGAUAUGGUGGCGGUUAUGGUGGAGGCUAUGGUCUAGGCUAUGGCCGUGGAUAUGGUUAUGGAUUUUAUGGUUAAAUAUUAAAAUGUGUGGACAUCUAAUGGCCCACAUUUUACCCCCCGGCCCCACCCCCCUAAUUACUACCAUAUGGCUUAAUUUAAUUGAUAAUAUUUUGAUAUAUAAGGCUAAAUAAAUUUUAAUUAAUUUAAUCAAAA
Molecule: long non-coding RNA, 310 nt
Organism: Oppia nitens
Lineage: Eukaryota; Metazoa; Arthropoda; Arachnida; Sarcoptiformes; Oppiidae
Exons: 3
Source: RefSeq, a predicted model, not a curated record